RNAcentral lists this ribosomal RNA (119 nucleotides) under Triticum aestivum (bread wheat). Lineage: Eukaryota; Viridiplantae; Streptophyta; Magnoliopsida; Poales; Poaceae. The record is from RNAcentral.
CGAUGCGAUCAUACCAGCACUAAAGCACCGGAUCCCAUCAGAACUCCGAAGUUAAGCGUGCUUGGGCGAGAGUAGUACUAGGAUGGGUGACCUCUUGGGAAGUCCUCGUGUUGCAUUCC